GGACAAUCACAGGCUCCUGAACUAACGGAAAGGCAACUGGCUAAUUUUCAAUUGAUGUGUCAUUUACAGAAGUACACUAGACCUGGAAAAGUCAUUUCCACGCCACUGGAAAAUGAACAACCUAAGGAUGACAUCCUUGAGGCAGAAGAAGCCAGUUCUGUGUUGAAUGAGACAGUCAAGGCAAAUCCCGCGUCACAGGAGGAUUCUAGAAUAACUUUGGAUGAAACUACUAAAGACUCUCAAAUAACCAGGCAGCAUUGAAUUCCCUCCCACUGACGGAUAAAACUAAUUGGUUUUGCAAUGGUGGGGAACACCAUGUGGGCCUCUCUUGCAAUCUGUCUUGGUUACAGAACUUCAUGGUGGAGGAGUAUAACACUCCUGAACAAGAGGUUUCCGCCAUGAUAGAUUCCUUCUGUCAGGAAUUUGAAAGGUUAAGAAGUAAGCUCAACUCCAAGGAACAGAACCUCUUAAGAAGGAAGAUACUAAUGUGACGGAACAAGCUACUUGGCCUCUCAAUACUCGCAACUUUCCAAGCAGCUCUACCUAUCUCUUUAUAAGGAAUUUUAUGGUGGAGGAAUAUGGCAUGCCUGAACAAGACGUUUUGCCAAUGAUAAAUUCCUUCUAUCAGGAAAUUGAAACGCUGAGGAGGAAAUUCAACUCCAAGGAACAGGAGCCUCUUGAGAAGGAAGGUACCAAUGAGAAAUCUAACGCAGAGGCAGCAACGAUGGCGGAAACUCCUGGGAGUUCUUCGACGGCGACCUCAACCGAUGACCUUCAAGAAGUUUCAGAAAUAACAAAACAGCCGACAACAAGUGGGUCUGAGGUUAAAUGUGAUGCUCAGGAUUUCAAAUGUGGGGAUGAUCACUCUAAUCCUUCACCUCCAAUGGGUGAGAGCUCUAACACUGCACCUAGAAUUGUACGCAAGCCAUGGUUAAACAUCGCAAGAAGAUAUAAUGGUCCCAAGCCUUUCAUCUUCGGUAGAAUGUCGAGGGAACAAGAGCAGAAUGGAUUGAAUCCCGUUUCCCCCUUGACCCCGCCCAGACGGCUCAUGCACGCGGAGAAAAUCCAGGAACUUGAAGCGGAAAUUGCUGGUCUCCAGUCAUACAUUCAGGAAUUGGAGUCAACAAAGCAACCCACCUCAGCCGAGAGGGGCGAUCAUUUGGACGACAUCGUCCUCGUUCUGUCCGACGAACUGGCGAAAGUCGAGCUCGAAAAUAAAAAACUGAAGGAAACCGUGGAUCGAUUCGUUGCAGGUAGCACAGAAAGACUUGGGACCCAUAGCACGGAACAACGUGGGACUUCUGUUGCAGAUAGCAUCGUCACGAAUCGCGAAUCGCUGGUGAAUAAAGCCACACAGAGUGAGGAAGAGGGGGUUCCUGAGACCUUCAAGCACUUGGCCCAAAAUCACAUCGGGAACUUCAACCUAGGAUGGCGGAAUCGGAGCUUGAUCGGGUGUUUGAAUGACGUGAGGACACCGCUCCACGCCGUUUUAAGUCAACCGGUCGUACCGGGCACUCGUUUCGAAUUUCAAGUAAAAACGCUUCCGCGCUGCAAGAAUUUCACCAUCAAGCUGGCGUAUGACCAGUCCCGAUUUCCGCUCCAGGCCACCAUUAGCUCGGACAUGAUCGACCUCUCUUGUCAAGGAAGUUCGUUGUACGGGGAGAAGCAUGUUCUGCCUCAAGACCUGCAACCUGACACCGACUACGUUCUCAUUUUCGUCGUUAAUUCUGACAGCAUCGAAAUCACGAUUCAGUCGCACGGUGGUGCGACUCGGUAUUGGAAUGAGUACAGACCCGCUGUUCCCGUGACUGAGAUACAGUACGUUCAUGUCGAUGGCGACGUGGUCGUGAGUGAUGCGAUGGUGAAGGAGGCAGACAAUGCGUGUUGUCUGGAAAUGCAAGAAAGGCUACGGCGCGCCUUCGUCGAGUACGUUAAGUUGUCGUAUCGCUGUUCAGUUCUCAAAAGCAAAUUGGCAAGUGCCCAGAAGAAAGACUUGUAGUCUGGUUCCGAAGACUGAAAAGCCUCUCGUCCUUUAGACCUUAGUGAUAAGAUAAACGGGACCACAUUUUGCAAUUUGGAACUACAAUUUAUGGUAUGGACUAGAAACAAUGCAAGAACUAUUAUGUUUUUACGGAUGAGCUCGAAAGUGUAGCUCCUAACUGCAAAAUGUUGUCCAAUUUUCUGAGGAAUUUUGAAGCUAUGACUGCCUCGCUGUGUAAGAAAGCUGUUGGUGGUUUUUAAACUUUGGAGAAUAAAAAUGAGAGUGCUCUUCGUGAGUUGCAAUGCAUUUCUUGGAAGAGUUGUGAGUUGGUUCGCAUCUGUGUGAUCAUUAACAAUUCAGUUUCUCUAUCGUUUGUAUCUUCCGCUUGGAACAUAAGUUUUGUUGAGCUUAUUGGGGACCUCUUAGAUCCACUUCCGAAAGAGUAAUUUGUGCAUUCCAAAUCACGCAUUUUCAAAUGUCCUCUAGCCGCAGAGACAUUUUUCUCACCUGCUGGCACCAAGACCUACUCAGAAAUAGAUGUAAGAAAACCUAGCCAAAAUAAACUUUUGUCAAAAGAGCUGUUCUCAUGUGUUGCAUUUAGAAAACUGCUAUUGAUCAUCCUUAUGCACGAUUUCAUUUCCUUUAAAGCAUUUGCUCUUGCUUUUCCUUUGCACAAAGAUGAAACAAACGUUUUGAGAGAACUAAACUUAUGCGUGAGAAACAUUGCCAAUAGCUGAAAUAGUAUUUAUCUCCUCGGAUUUAGGACCUAAGUUAGGUUCCAUUCCUUCACAUACCCCUUUUUCACUGACAGUUCUCUUCUGCAGCACAGCAAGCCAGUUUGUAAAGUGGAAGUCAUCGUAGUUAUCACUACCCUGCAAGAAAAAGUAUCAAGUGAAUUUCCUAUUUGAAGCAGUCUUAAGUUAUGCCCCUCAGUUUCACAAUGAUAAUUUUGUAAAAAUGUUAACUUGAUACAUGAUGACUUGUUAGCUUGAUAACGAAUUGAAUGAUUUUUUCGACUGAUUAGUUUUAUUUUUCGAACAUUUCUCACCAGCGCAGCGGGCCGAUUAUUGAAAUUAAUAGACAAAGCUGUAGACAAGAAGACAAAAGGGGUAUGGAGAAAUCCUAUUGGUGGAAGCAGAUGGUUGGAAUGGACAAAGAAGGUAGGUAAUAGACUAACUAACGGCAUCCCAUGGGAGAACCUAUUGUCAACCUAAAAUUUCUCCCCUAGUCCAGAGGCUUCGUUCAGAAAAGCACCCGUUUCAGCCAAUAAGAUCGCUCCAUACUCCCAUAGAGCACAUUGAAUCGUAAUGUAAGUGGGAGAGCUGGCGCCACUUUUAAACAUUUUCCAGCUCCCGAAUUCCGAGACUCAUGUGUGCGGACGGGUCACUUUUUCGAUACAUGAUCGAUUGUUCUCGAUACACGGGUACCCGGUCAUCCGAUGUAAACAAAGAAGAUAGGAAUUACCACGUAUUCCGCGUCGCCAUUCAGGAUCGAACUUGUAUCGAAAAAGUGACUGAAGCUCGGCGCACACCAGGCUCGGAACUCGUCGAGCAGAACAUAGCGCCAGUUCUCUCAUUUACAUUACGACUCUAUGUACUCUAUGCAUACUCCUUAUGUCCUCUUUGUCUAUCAGUUUCAAUAAAAAGCCCACAGCAUAUGAGAACAUGCUGCGCUUGGAUUUGAGACGAUUAUGUUGAGUAAUCGCUUAGUUUUUUAAGUUUUACAUGCCUUUAUAUCUGCAGUUGCAGUUACCUCUCAUUCAGGUGAAUCGUAGGUCAAAAGUGCAGAACAGCAAGAUAUUAUUUCAAUAAUUUGAUUUGAGUUUUGUUCAGGCAAAAGUUACGUGUCUACAACAUCCGCAGACAGAUACAAUCCACUCAGCGAAGCAUUCUUGUAUGAAGUUUACCUUAAUAUCCCCAAAGCUGUAUUAAUAUCUUAAGGAAAAUUGCUUUAAUAUGGAAUCAACAUUACCUAUGAAGAGAGCAAUAAAGUCAUUGAAUUUUUACCAGUAUAAAAUGUGGAAAUGUGCGAAAGUAGUGUCCAGUGCUAUUUUUCCGCCAGGAUGUCAAUUUCUUUCGGUUUUAAUCGCCUCCAUCGCUUUUUUCUGAUCAAUAUUACUUACAACUAGUAGUAUUUAUGGUAAUGAUACUGUCCCAUUGUUGCCAUGUUUGUUUCACGUUGAUGUUCAUAUUUUCAGUUUUCUGCAAAAAUCCUGUUCUCUGACUUAUUAUCAACACUGUGACAAUGUUGCUUCUAUGUUAACAAACCAAUUAUUACCUGGCUAUUAUCCGCAGUAAUGCUGGCACUGACGAUAAACUGCACGCCUGAGAUACAGCUUUCUCUUCUAACUCUUUACAACUUCCUAUUUUUUGUGUCUAUAAAUCGUUUCUGUUUUUUUCAUGUUAAAUUAAGUAUUUUCUCGAAUAUAUCUUAAUAUUUGACAGUUACAAAAGCUUCUAUUUUAUAUAUCAGUCGGGCCAGUCCCGAACAUUCCUCUUUGCUCGUAAGAUAGCUUGUAUUAAAUGUGAUUUUAAGAAUCCAUUGUCUACAGAAAGUUUUGUUUUGUAUUAUUUGAAUAACCUCUGUGUCAGGCAUACAAGCACAUACACUAUACUACGCUCGUGUGUGUAGACUUCUUUUGCCAUUUAGGAACCACUGUUUAUGGCUCAUUUCAUACACAGCAUAAGUGCCAUAAGUUAAGUGCUUCUGUGGAUGGAAGUGGCGAUUUUUUAAGUUGGCAACACUGUUUUUCCUCCAUUAUAGUAUCAAUUCAGGUGAGGCAAGCUGCUUCUUCUGCUGAUUGUUUUAUAAUACAUCUUAUGGAGGAAAACUAUUGAUGCCAAUUGCAAUCGCCAAGAAUCGCCACCGGUGGAUGAGUCAGAAACAGUCAAAUUACCUCCCCUUCUUUCCGAUUAUUCUAUACCGAAGUUGCCAGAUAGUGCAAUUAGACAGCGAUAUUUUACAAUUCAGCACUAUCUGUCAACUAUGUUCCAUGCCUUCUCUAUUUGAACACUUGUUUCAUCCCUUACUAGCAAAAAAAUGACCUACACUUACAUUUCUUGUAUUUAUUUUGUGUAUUUUUUACCUUUAUCUUUUCCUAGAGUAAACCUGGUUCACAUUUAUCAACUUGCUGUGUAUCUCUUUUCCCACCACCUUUUUUCCUAAGUGCGAAGACUGUGUUGGUAAUAUUAAACGGGUCAGUUAACAUGCGCUUAGGAAAAGCGCCAUGUAAACAUUUUGACGUUGUGAAACUUCUUCCAGUAAAAUAGCAAUGUUCUUGUAAACUUAAUUUUUUUUUUCAAUUACACCGAAGUAUCAGAAGGUGCCCGACUGCAUUUCACAUUCCCUUACUUUCUCUCGUUUUAUUUUUCAGUACGUUUAUAAUGUACGUUCUUGGCAUGAUUUCACACGAGAAUCACGAGACAUCUUUAGCAGAAAGCCUCUUUAAAUAGAAAAACGUUAUGUUUAGGCUGGAAGAAAAAAAUAUUGAGGUUCUGCAGCAGAAUUCCCUGACUUCUCAGGGUUGCCAUCAAUUCCUGACUUUUCAUCCUGAACUGUGCAAUAAUUUCGUCCCUCCUGGAGCAAUUAAAUAAAAAUGUGACCAUUCACAGGAUCUUGCCUGUCAGAGUGUUCCACAAACAUCACGGAGAAAGAGCACCCGUAUGUAUUUUUACUCAAAGCUGUGCCAAUUGGAAGUUUUUAGUUUAAAAACUUUG
This 5697-nucleotide long non-coding RNA is filed under the name Bemisia tabaci. RNAcentral's name for it is "lncRNA ENSSSA3NGG004739". The record is from RNAcentral. Lineage: Eukaryota; Metazoa; Arthropoda; Insecta; Hemiptera; Aleyrodidae.